AACAGCAGCCGAUUUGGAUUCCUGAGAGAUUAACUAAAGUGAGCUCUCGGGCAUUGUCUGUCACCACUGUGACCUGAUGUCCACCAGCCACGGAGAGCAUCCCGUCUUAAACACGGAGGAACCAGCUGAUGUGACAUUAUGAUGACUGGUCCUGUCUGUGGGCACCACUGGGAGGGGUGCGCUGGAAUGUUGUGCCGGGAUGCCGUGGCUGGGCAUCCGCCACACCCAGGGAGGAAGCCCUGUUUCACGGGGGAGUGCCGCCCACGCAGAGGCCCCCGUGGAGACCCCCAGAGCCGGCUUGCGGCUCAUGAGCUUCACACGGAAUAAGACCCUCGGAGCUCCGGGCCCUGCUCCUCCCAACCUUCAGAGCCAAGGCUUGUUCAUGGGGCGACAACCAGGGCUGCCGUUGUGCUUCCUCUCCUGGCUGUGGCUCCAGAGUUCCUGGUGCCACACUCCGGUCCUCUCACUCAGGUGCUGUGUUUGCGGAUGUGGGUGACAGACCGGGGCUACGCCCCGUCCUGGUGGCCUGUUUCCCGUCAGGGUCAGAACACGCCUCCCACGGAGAUGUGACCUGAGGUGUGGGUCACGCUGCAGGACACAGUGGCACGAGCGGGUCCUGCAGCGACUCCACACAGCGCCUUCCUCACGCCCUGGAAGGUGCAGGGCGGGUGGACCUCCUGUGGAUCAGAGCUCCCUGGCGGGAUGUCCCCGUUCCUCCUUGUUCCCCCGGGAAAGAUGGGAUGGCAACAGAUGAUGCCUGUGGGGGGCAGCGCUGGGUCCCCAUCUCGGUGGUUAGAGACCCGAUGGGUGCCUUGAAGGACGGCUGUGAGGGCGGAGCCCCAUGGGGGAGGCUGUAGACUGGGGGGCAGCAGGCUAGCCUGGCCGCAUGCCGAGGUCGGUGGGGCACAGGAAGGGGCCGCCGCCAGAGGGCAGCCUCCCGCAUGGCUGGCUUCCUCUCAGAGAGAAUGGGACACGCCUCCUCCGCUGCAGUCACGCGUCAGGAGGAGUGCCUGCUUCUCGGUGGCACGGAGCAGCUUGUCUCACAGCGUGUCCCUGAGGCGGCCCUGGUGCUGCAUUCCAGGCGCAGGUCCGGGCCAACCGGGUUCAGCCUUCCUCCAACUUCAGCACUAGGAAAGGGGACAGCUCCCCCUCUGUCUUGUGCUGGUCUCAAUGGGACACAGAGGGCACAAGUCACGUCUGUUCCCAUCUCCUAGGAAAAUCAAGCCACAGGGCUCUGUCUGGUGCUGGCACGCCACCUAGAGCCCAAGUGGGCUGGUGGAGGGCAGGAUGGGUCAGUGAAAUUGUGGGACUUGUGUAUCACAGAGUCUUGUCCAGCCUCAGGAGGGCAGUGUGGACGGGCCUCGAGGCCAGUGUGCUACGUGAAAUAGGCCAGUUGUGAAGGACUGGUGAGGGAUCCGCUUAUCUGAGGCACUUCGAGGAGUCAAAUUCCUAGGGACAGGGGCUGGUCUCCAGGCUGGGCUAGGCUGGGCUCGGGCAGGUAUAGUGGAAUGGGUGACGUUGCCUGGAGCGAGUGAGGUGUGCGCGUGUGCGCGUGUGCGUGUGUGUGUGCAUGUGUGUGUGUGUGUGUGUGAAGGUAGGACGCAGAGCAGAGAUGCUCAAGUCUGAGCGCUAAGCCAGAGGCUCCGACACCAACUCCAGGAAGCUCGGGAGGGCCCUGCAAUGCCCUGGUCACUAAGGAUCUGCGCAGGGUCAGGAUGCAGCCUGCUGGACCACACCCCGGUGGCUUGCCCCACACCCACGCAGCGUGCUGCCUUGGAGUGUCUUAAGGGACUGGAACCUGGGCCUCGGGACUUCAGGAUGUUUGGUCAGACCACGGGACGGUGACAUGGGCACGGCUCCCUCCUAACAUAUGAGGAAAUGCCCUGCCCAACUGCUCAGCCCAGGUCCCUGGUGGCCUCAGGGGGACAGGUGGCUCUGCCCUGUCACACAGCUUCUUCCCAUGACGUCUUCACUCUGUGCAGAGACAGAGCCGCCUCCCUGCCCCAGAACUGCUCCCACCAGAACCACAGCUGGUUCCCAUGUCCCCUGUGAGCCUGGCCCAGGGGGGCACCUACAGGUGCUCUGUCUCCUCCAGGGGCAGACCUCUGCUCUCUGCCCAGGGACCCCCUUGAGAUUUUGGUCUCACUUAAUGUCCCUGACUGCAGCAGUGUCUCUGUCCCAGGUGUGACUGAGGAGGAUGUCAGCAGAGGUGUGAGGGACCUUCUUGCCCUGUGGGACACUUGGGCCAUAUGUCAUGUGGCCCCUCGAACGUCCAGGGUGGGUGCUGAGCCACGAGAGUCUCUGGGGGAGGCCCGCUGAAUCUGGCCACGUGGCCGUGUGUCACCUGCACCCAGGGGCUUCCUGGGCUGGGCUGUGAGAGCGCUGAGGGCACCCACCCCCUGCGUGGUCCCCCCACACCUGCCCGGCCCUUGCUGCAGCUGGAUGGCAGGAGGACAGGGGGGUGGCGGGGCAUCUUCACCCAGGAGACGUCUUGGUGAGCCCCUCUCUCUGCCAGCAAGCUGGUGAGGAGCACCCAGAACGGGAGAGGGGUAGUCACAGGAUCGACGUCCAGGGUGUGUGGACAUGCCCGGGACCCUGGGGCCACAGCGGCACUUGGUGCUUGGGGCUUGUAAUUCCAGGAAGGGCGGACAAGAGUGUCCCACAGCCAGGAGGCCAGUGAGCCGGGAGGAAGGGGGAGCAGGGUGGGGGUCCAGGAAGGAGUCAGCAGUGAAGGUCCAGCAAGGGACCUCAGCUGGCACAAUGUGGGGACUGGACGGUGAGACUGGUCCCUGGAGGGGCCGUGCAGCAUCUGCCAUGCCUCUGUGGACAUGCAGGUGGAGCCCAGAAAGCCCCCCGAAUUCCCGUUAGCACUCACAGCUGUGCAUCUGCAUGUGUGGACCUGCAGGUGGACGGCCAUCCCGGAGCCCCUAGAGCUGCAGGUCACCUGGAGCAUCUUGUCCACUUCAGUGUGCCCUGAGCCUCACCCUGGUGUCUGGGGUCUGCGACCUGAGCAGCUGAGCUGGGGGUAGGGAGCCCGAGAGCCAGACGCCUCCCUGUUUCCACCCCGUCAGCGUCUGUGGUCCUCUGAGUCUCCACGCCAGCGAGGGCCGGGCAGCAGCCUGUCUGGUCAGAGCCACAGAAGGAGCAGCAGGUUCUGGCCUCGGGUCCUGGGGCUGGGGUCAGAUGGUGGUGGGAGCCUCCAUUUACAGGAGGACACUUGUACUCUUGUCCUGGGAGCCAUCUCCAGACCCACACAUGCCCAGGGAGGAAGGGCUCUGGGUCCACUGAGGGCCUGGUGGCUCAUCCCCUCCUACGGGUGAGGACUUAGCUGUGGGGUUUGCCUCCGUGGACUUGGGGGGACUUGCUGUGGGUUGGGGUCAUGUUCUCCCCUUUCCUUCCUAGAAUCCUCUCCCUGUCCCAGGAAGGGGAGCACGGUCAGCUGGUGCCUUCUCCUGUUGGUCCAGCUCUAUGGCUGGCCACCUGGCAGGGCAACAGAGGUGUGCCCGGGGAGCAGGGAGCCCAGCUGGGAGAGCCGUCUGAGCCUUGCCUCGAGAUGCUGGAGUUGAAGUCCGCAGGGACACGGGCGUCCUCGGCUCCCCACCAUGAGCCGGGCCUGGGGUGGAGUCCCGUCGUCCCUCAGGGUCCUGCCCUAGACUUGGCUGUGUUUAGAGGGGACCUCUGUGUCCCGGAGCCUUCCUCCCUCUCUCUUCUCUGAGAGUCUCUGUGACGCCUGCCUCUGCUGCCUCUGGCCCUUCCUGAACCCUUCUUGACUCUGGAUGUUAUUUUCAUGAAGCCGUUUCCUUCUCCUUCUUGACCCUCAUUGGCUUGCCCCCCUCUCCCGGGCCUUCCUGCCCUUCACUUCUGUGAAUGCCAUCUUCAUUAAUCU
Long non-coding RNA from Ictidomys tridecemlineatus (thirteen-lined ground squirrel), 3886 nucleotides. RefSeq lists it as uncharacterized. Lineage: Eukaryota; Metazoa; Chordata; Mammalia; Rodentia; Sciuridae. The record is from RefSeq and is a predicted model, not a curated record.